Stegodyphus dumicola is the source of this 107-nucleotide small nuclear RNA. Lineage: Eukaryota; Metazoa; Arthropoda; Arachnida; Araneae; Eresidae. The record is from RefSeq and is a predicted model, not a curated record.
GUACUUGCUUUGGCAGUACAUAUACUAAAAUUUGAACGAUACAGAGAAGAUUAGCAUGGCCUCUGCGCAAGGAUGACACGCAAAGGUGAUAUAAUCUAGCUGUGGUG